GACGAACCGUGCGAACGUUGUUCGGAUUCACUGGGCUUAAAGGGCGCGUAGGCGGAAGGUCAAGUCCGAGGUGAAAUCUUUCGGCUCAACCGGAAAAGUGCCUUGGAUACGGAUCUUCUCGAGGGAGGUAGGGGCAUGUGGAACUUCCGGUGGAGCGGUGAAAUUCGUAGAUAUCGGGAGGAACACCAGUGGCGAAGGCGCUGACCUGGACGAUGAUUGACGCUGAGGCGCGAAAGCGUGGGGAGCAAACAGG
RNAcentral lists this ribosomal RNA (253 nucleotides) under uncultured bacterium. RNAcentral describes it as "partial 16S ribosomal RNA". It matches the Rfam family "Bacterial small subunit ribosomal RNA", at positions 524 to 776 of the family's 1533-position model. The record is from RNAcentral.